AGCAGCCAUGCAGCACCGGUUUCAUCUGAUCACCGCAGUUAAGCAGCGGCCGGGCGCGGUCAGUACUUGGGGAGGUGACCACCUGGGAACACCGCGUGCUGUU
This is a non-coding RNA of Araneus ventricosus, 103 nucleotides long. The record is from the annotation of a GenBank genome assembly. NCBI's taxonomy places the organism in Eukaryota, Metazoa, Arthropoda, Arachnida, Araneae, Araneidae.